UACGAAGGGGGCUAGCGUUGUUCGGAAUUACUGGGCGUAAAGGGCGCGUAGGCUGUGCUGUAAGUCAGGCGUGAAAUCUCCUGGCUCAACUGGGAGCUUGCAGGCGAAACUGCCGUGCUGGAGUGUGGGAGAGGUGAGUGGAAUUCCCGGUGUAGCGGUGAAAUGCGCAGAUAUCAGGAGGAACACCAAUGGCGAAGGCAGCUCGCUGGGACGGUACUGACGCUGAGGCGCGAAAGCGUGGGGAGCAAACAGG
This 253-nucleotide ribosomal RNA is filed under the name uncultured bacterium. RNAcentral's name for it is "partial 16S ribosomal RNA". It matches the Rfam family "Bacterial small subunit ribosomal RNA", at positions 524 to 776 of the family's 1533-position model. The record is from RNAcentral.